UGUUGGAUCGACGGAUCUGACACGGGAGUGACUGAAUAAUCUUUCUGGCAUAUGGCUGGAUAAGGUGAUGAGACACAGGUGGUGCUGCUCCGAAAGGAGAAUCGACUUACCAGUCGGGUCUCAGGCAGAGGCGAAAACUUACUUACUGUAGUAAUGCCCUCCUCUUGUUGGUAAUACAGGAAUCCAACCUCCCCACCCC
This 199-nucleotide non-coding RNA is filed under the name unclassified sequences. RNAcentral describes it as "manA RNA". It matches the Rfam family "manA RNA". Rfam says of the family: manA RNA has been located in 5'UTR regions of genes of mannose or fructose metabolism. Has been proposed as a cis-regulatory element and as a riboswitch candidate for his complex secondary structure. The record is from RNAcentral.